This is a long non-coding RNA of Pundamilia nyererei, 463 nucleotides long. RefSeq lists it as uncharacterized. NCBI's taxonomy places the organism in Eukaryota, Metazoa, Chordata, Actinopteri, Cichliformes, Cichlidae. The transcript has 3 exons. The record is from RefSeq and is a predicted model, not a curated record.
UUUAGAACCCUGGAAGGUUCAAAGAGACGAUGCAGAAAGUAAAUCCCUUUAAGUCGUACACACAGAUUCAGGAUCAAUGUCAGAGAGAUUUGACGGUUACCUCUGUCAAGACACUGGAAAACCAAGCAGUUAUUCACAGUGACAACUCCACCAGCUCUGAAAGCCUGGAUGACAGCACAAUAGAGAGACAUGUAAGGCAAUAACCACAUCUCCUUGUCUUUAAAAUGAACCCAGCCCUCCAAGCUCAAAGUUAUUUCUUAUUCACCUGCUACACACAGAAAUGUAUGACUUCAUUUUGUACAUCACCUUUUGUUAACCUAAUUGCAUUUCUUGUAAUGGUUGUUUUAUCUUACCAUCUUCUCGCACUUGGUGAUUUCCAGAACCUAUUGUUCAGUGAAAAAUACUAGCAUGUUGUCAGUCUGCAAAAAUGCAAAGCAUGUGACCAGGUUGAAGCAGUGCUUAC